Long non-coding RNA from Danio aesculapii, 107 nucleotides. RefSeq lists it as uncharacterized. Lineage: Eukaryota; Metazoa; Chordata; Actinopteri; Cypriniformes; Danionidae. The transcript has 2 exons. The record is from RefSeq and is a predicted model, not a curated record.
GCGAUCCCAGAGACGAGUACAGCAAAAUCUGCAGAUCUGAACAAACGGACAGCAGAUCUGCAGGAGGAAUGGGACAGACUUCAGUACUGAUGGCCUCACAGACGUCU